CCGGGAGGCUGUGUGAGGAGCACUAUGCAUUAUCAAGGUAACCAGCAGGGACCCAGUUCAAGAGGCCGAGGUAGACUUCGCGGUCUUCGAGGUGGAAGGCGUUAUAUCCCAUACUUAAGUCGUCACAUCCGACCAUGUGGUGCGAAAUUAUCUUCAUAUCACAGCACGGAGGAGUGUAAUCAAUCCUCCUCGGAUGACUCGACACAGCCCCCAAGUCCCCCACCAUGCGUUGUGCCAACUUAUGCGCCAGAACCUAUUCAAGAACCCCCACCAAAUACAAUGGAACAAUCACCUACUAGAGAACAAACUGCUGCAGAUGCCCCAAUGGAGACCGAAGGAACGCAAGAACAGAGGAGACGAACUCGUGGGCCAGCUAGAUGCAUUUUCUUUGACAAGCUAAGGAAGAACGGGAAAGUGUAGUUGAAGAUAAACGAUGGUGAGACAGCCCCAUGUUGUGAACACUCUUCUAUGUUCA
Molecule: long non-coding RNA, 475 nt
Organism: Juglans regia (Persian walnut)
Lineage: Eukaryota; Viridiplantae; Streptophyta; Magnoliopsida; Fagales; Juglandaceae
Exons: 3
Source: RefSeq, a predicted model, not a curated record